This 643-nucleotide long non-coding RNA is filed under the name Ananas comosus (pineapple). Its description in RNAcentral is "long non-coding RNA (ACOM_LNC018410)". The record is from RNAcentral. Lineage: Eukaryota; Viridiplantae; Streptophyta; Magnoliopsida; Poales; Bromeliaceae.
CUAGCUAUACCCCAAAACUUUAAUUUGCAAUAUUGAAUCUCCUAAUCUAUGGCUCCAAAUUAAUGCACUAAGAGACCGUUUGGUUAGAUGUAAUUAUAAAUAUAAUAUAAUUGGAGAUACGAGCAGUUGAAAAUAUAGUAAUUACAACUAUAUACAUUUUGUUUGGUUGGAUGUAGUAGAAAUCGCUGCAACUACAAAUAAUUUGUUUGGUUGUAUGCAGUUGAGAAAUAAUUUUUAAAAGUUUAUUAUUUUAUAUAUAUGAUGGUGAAAUUAUCUCCAAUAUAAAAGAAAUAUAUUUUUUGUUUAAAAAACAAUUAGAAAGUAAGCUUACCUGUUGCUUAAAAUUACUCUCUCUAACUGCUACAGUUGGAACUGUGGUCAAUCUGAGAGGCCCUUUGGUUAGAUGUAAUUAUAAAUGUAGUGUAGUCAGAGAUCUAUACAGUUGGAAAUACAACAGUUGCAACUACAUGCAUCUUAUUUAGUUGGAUAUAGUAGAAAGUGCUGCAAUUAUAAAUAAUUUGUUUGCUCGUAUACAGUUAAGAAAUGAUUUUUAAAACUUUAUUAUUUAUAUAUAUGAUGGUGAGAUUACCUCCAAUGUAAAAAAAUUUAUUUUUUAUUUAAAAAAAAUUAAGAAAAUAAGCUU